AAAGUCGUAACAAGGUUUCCGUAGGUGAACCUGCGGAAGGAUCAUUACAGAGUUCAUGCCCUCACGGGUAGAUCUCCCACCCUUGAAUAUCAUACUUUUGUUGCUUUGGCGGGCCGCCUAGGCUACCGGCUCUCGCUGGUAAGUGCCCGCCAGAGGACCCAAAACUCUGAAUUAUAGUGUUGUCUGAGUACUAUAUAAUAGUUAAAACUUUCAACAACGGAUCUCUUGGUUCUG
RNAcentral lists this unclassified non-coding RNA (234 nucleotides) under Ascomycota sp. Its description in RNAcentral is "partial contains small subunit ribosomal RNA, internal transcribed spacer 1, and 5.8S ribosomal RNA". The stretch from base 1 to 47 matches the Rfam family "Eukaryotic small subunit ribosomal RNA", at positions 1785 to 1831 of the family's 1831-position model. The record is from RNAcentral. Lineage: Eukaryota; Fungi; Ascomycota.